RNAcentral lists this ribosomal RNA (488 nucleotides) under uncultured bacterium. RNAcentral describes it as "partial 16S ribosomal RNA". It matches the Rfam family "Bacterial small subunit ribosomal RNA", at positions 30 to 505 of the family's 1533-position model. The record is from RNAcentral.
AUUGAACGCUGGCGGCAGGCCUAACACAUGCAAGUCGAACGGUAACAGGGAUCAGCUUGCUGAUUCGCUGACGAGUGGCGGACGGGUGAGUAAUGUCUGGGAAACUGCCUGAUGGAGGGGGAUAACUACUGGAAACGGUAGCUAAUACCGCAUAACGUCGCAAGACCAAAGAGGGGGACCUUCGGGCCUCUUGCCAUCGGAUGUGCCCAGAUGGGAUUAGCUAGUAGGUGGGGUAACGGCUCACCUAGGCGACGAUCCCUAGCUGGUCUGAGAGGAUGACCAGCCACACUGGAACUGAGACACGGUCCAGACUCCUACGGGAGGCAGCAGUGGGGAAUAUUGCACAAUGGGCGCAAGCCUGAUGCAGCCAUGCCGCGUGUAUGAAGAAGGCCUUCGGGUUGUAAAGUACUUUCAGCGGGGAGGAAGGGAGUAAAGUUAAUACCUUUGCUCAUUGACGUUACCCGCAGAAGAAGCACCGGCUAACUCCG